AUUGAACGCUGGCGGCAGGCCUAACACAUGCAAGUCGAACGAGUGGCGGACGGGUGAGUAAUGUCUGGGAAACUGCCUGAUGGAGGGGGGUAACUACUGGAAACGGUAGCUAAUACCGCAUACCAUCGGAUGUGCACAGAUGGGAUUAGCUAGGAGGUGGGGUAAAGGCUCACCUAGGCGACGAUCCCUAGCUGGUCUGAGAGGAUGACCAGCACAACUGGAACGGAGACACGGUCCAGACUCCUACGGGAGGCAGCAGUGGGGAAUAUUGCACAAGGGGCGAAAGCCUGAUGCAGCCAGGCCGCGUGGAUGAAGAAGGCCUGCGGGUUGGAAAGUACUUUCAGCGGGGAGGCGUUACCCGCAGAAGAAGCACCGGCUAACUCCGUGCCAGCAGCCGCGGUAAUUC
Molecule: ribosomal RNA, 406 nt
Filed under: uncultured bacterium
Lineage: Bacteria
Description: partial 16S ribosomal RNA
Rfam family: Bacterial small subunit ribosomal RNA
Source: RNAcentral